Molecule: ribosomal RNA, 505 nt
Filed under: uncultured bacterium
Lineage: Bacteria
Description: bacterial SSU rRNA
Rfam family: Bacterial small subunit ribosomal RNA
Source: RNAcentral
GAUGAACGCUAGCGGCAGGCCUAAUACAUGCAAGACGAACGGUAAGUUGAGUAGCAAUACUUAGCCAAGAGUGUCGUACGGGUGCGUAACACGUAUGCAACCUACCCUAUACAGGAGGAUAGCCUAGGGAAACCUGGAUUAACCCUUCAUAGUAUUAUUGGAUGGCAUCAUUUGAUAAUUAAAACUGAGGUGGUAUAGGAUGGGCAUGCGUCUGAUUAGUUAGUUGGCGGGGUAAUGGCCCACCAAGACGAUGAUCAGUAGGGGUUCUGAGAGGAAGAUCCCCCACACUGGCACUGAGAUACGGGCCAGACUCCUACGGGAGGCAGCAGUAGGGAAUAUUGGUCAAUGGAUGCAAGUCUGAACCAGCCAUGCCGCGUGCAAGGGAAGAAGGCCCUUUCGUGGGGUUGUAAACUGCUUUUGCCAGGGGAUAAAUUCCAUGCGUGGAAAACUGAAGGUACCUGGUGAAUAAGCCACGGCUAACUACGUGCCAGCAGCCGCGGUAAUC